Molecule: ribosomal RNA, 429 nt
Filed under: Chloroflexota bacterium
Lineage: Bacteria; Bacillati; Chloroflexota
Description: Chloroflexi bacterium partial 16S ribosomal RNA
Rfam family: Bacterial small subunit ribosomal RNA
Source: RNAcentral
UGGGGAAUAUUGCACAAUGGGCGCAAGCCUGAUGCAGCCAUGCCGCGUGUAUGAAGAAGGCCUUCGGGUUGUAAAGUACUUUCAGUCGGGAGGAAGGUGUCAAGGUUAAUAACCUUGGCAAUUGACGUUACCGACAGAAGAAGCACCGGCUAACUCCGUGCCAGCAGACGCGGUAAUACGGAGGGUGCAAGCGUUAAUCGGAAUUACUGGGCGUAAAGCGCACGCAGGCGGUUGAUUGAGUCAGAUGUGAAAUCCCCGGGCUUAACCCGGGAAUUGCAUCUGAUACUGGUCAGCUAGAGUCUUGUAGAGGGGGGUAGAAUUCCAUGUGUAGCGAUGAAAUGCGUAGAGAUGUGGAGGAAUACCGGUGGCGAAGGCGGCCCCCUGGACAAAGACUGACGCUCAGGUGCGAAAGCGUGGGGAGCAAACAGG